AGGAUGAACGCUGGCGGCGUGCUUAACACAUGCAAGUCGAACGGUGAAAGAGGAGCUUGCUCCUCUGGAUCAGUGGCGAACGGGUGAGUAACACGUGAGUAACCUGCCCUUGACUCUGGGAUAAGCGUUGGAAACGACGUCUAAUACCGGAUACGACCUCCGAAGGCAUCUUCUGGAGGUGGAAAGAAUUUCGGUCAAGGAUGGACUCGCGGCCUAUCAGCUAGUUGGUGAGGUAAUGGCCCACCAAGGCGACGACGGGUAGCCGGCCUGAGAGGGUGACCGGCCACACUGGGACUGAGACACGGCCCAGACUCCUACGGGAGGCAGCAGUGGGGAAUAUUGCACAAUGGGCGCAAGCCUGAUGCAGCAACGCCGCGUGAGGGACGACGGCCUUCGGUUGUAACCUCUUUAGUAGGGAAGAAGCGAAAGUGACGGUACCUGCAGAAAAGCACCGGCUAACUACGUGCCAGCAGCCGCGGU
RNAcentral lists this ribosomal RNA (480 nucleotides) under uncultured bacterium. RNAcentral's name for it is "SSU rRNA". It matches the Rfam family "Bacterial small subunit ribosomal RNA", at positions 26 to 521 of the family's 1533-position model. The record is from RNAcentral.